UCCUCAUCCGGCGUAGUGCUGUGGAAUCCCCCUUCCCUCCAUGCUGAGAAGACUCACACAACCAUGUUCAACGUAUAAUAUUAAUAUAUAUUCGAAUUUCAUUACAGCUACACGGAACAGUAUUUGAAGCAAAGGCAAAUAAAACAAACAAGGCGGAACAACAAAGAGAAUAAUAACGGAGUAGGGACAAUUAUAUAUGGUAGACCGUCUCCAACCUUCAUCAAAAAUCAAAUCCCGAACAACCGUUUUUCUAUUUCUUUCAUGGACCGACUCCAACCUCGAUCAAGAAUCAACCUCGUGAUACAACUCCGACGAGAAAAAAAAACAGGCAAGAUCGUUCAGCACGAUCUUCCGACCGACCGUCUCCAACCUCGAUCCAAAAUCAACUCCUCGACUCAGAAAAAUCCACGUUGUAACCUCUAGUAAAAAAAAAUUGACGUUCCUUUUUCAACUCCUAUUUAACAGGAGGAGCAAUUUUUUGAAUUUCCCCCCCUGGAGUUGCCAUUUCCUAUCUCCGAUAUAUCGCCUCGGGAUAUAUCGAUAACCCCCCCUAACAUUGCUGGCACAAACGAUAUCCAAAACGUAACA
Molecule: RNA transcript, 588 nt
Organism: Drosophila nasuta
Lineage: Eukaryota; Metazoa; Arthropoda; Insecta; Diptera; Drosophilidae
Exons: 3
Source: RefSeq, a predicted model, not a curated record